This 508-nucleotide ribosomal RNA is filed under the name uncultured bacterium. RNAcentral describes it as "partial 16S ribosomal RNA". It matches the Rfam family "Bacterial small subunit ribosomal RNA", at positions 30 to 523 of the family's 1533-position model. The record is from RNAcentral.
AUUGAACGCUGGCGGCAUGCCUUACACAUGCAAGUCGAACGGCAGCGGGGGAGAAGCUUGCUUUUCCUGCCGGCGAGUGGCGAACGGGUGAGUAAUACAUCGGAACGUGCCCUGUAGUGGGGGAUAACUAGUCGAAAGAUUAGCUAAUACCGCAUACGACCUGAGGGUGAAAGUGGGGGACCGCAAGGCCUCAUGCUAUAGGAGCGACCGAUGUCUGAUUAGCUAGUUGGUGGGGUAAAGGCCUACCAAGGCGACGAUCAGUAGCUGGUCUGAGAGGACGACCAGCCACACUGGGACUGAGACACGGCCCAGACUCCUACGGGAGGCAGCAGUGGGGAAUUUUGGACAAUGGGCGCAAGCCUGAUCCAGCAAUGCCGCGUGCAGGAAGAAGGCCUUCGGGUUGUAAACUGCUUUUGUACGGAGCGAAAAGACUCCCUCUAAUACAGGGGGCUCAUGACGGUACCGUAAGAAUAAGCACCGGCUAACUACGUGCCAGCCGCCGCCGUAA